AUGUGCCUGUCCCUUCAGCAUCUGAAAAAAAUGAAGAUGUUUUUGAAAAGACAAGUCAAAGGCAUGCCUUGGAUGGAGAACAAGUUUUCUCCUUCACCUUGAAAUGUGAAGGAGGUAGCUCAUCUGGAAUAUUUUGUAGUGUAGAAUGGUUCUAAGGACACAGAGAAUCCAUUAGCUCUUCAGUAAGCAAAGAUAGACUGGAUAAUCACCCCAUCCCUUCUGGCUUCUUAAUCAGGUCGCUGAGUGGGGCUCACUCCCUGUCCCAGAAGUGGCUGCAAGUCAUUGGUUGGUAUUUAAGUGCAAAAUACACAACUAUAAGGGAUGUGCUCUCACUGAAAUUUCAAGUCCAUUCAUUCCACACUUUGGUUUCCUAUUUUUAAUUCAUACUGAAGAGAAUCAAGGUCGAAUCCAUUUGACAUUCCAAGGUCUUGUCUCAGAGAGAAAGGAGUAUCUGCUUUCUUGUUCUUGAUCUGCUGGAAGAGAAAUCUCUUGAGAAUAGGUACCUCAGGAGAGUGAGAAUCUCAAAGGCAGACUAGUCUGUAAAAUGACAGCUAGCAAAAACACCCUGGAGGUGUUUUAGAGGCAUCUGGAUCUGGCAGUGGCUGAUAUGGUUUAGUAGUUUAAGGUUUACAAUGAUAGUGUUGGGUUGAGAGCUGGACUUGGUGAUUUUGAAGAUCUCUUCCAACCUUGAUGAAUCUAUGAUUCCAUGAAAAGGUGCAGUGGAGUAGUCCAUUGAAAGAAAAGUCUGUGCAGCUCCUGAUGUGACCAGGAAGGCUCCUUCAGGCUCUGUGAGAUGAGGACCGAGGAAGACCCCAACCCAAGUCAGGGCCCAUAGCCUAUGGCCUCUGGAG
Long non-coding RNA from Empidonax traillii (willow flycatcher), 851 nucleotides. RefSeq lists it as uncharacterized. Lineage: Eukaryota; Metazoa; Chordata; Aves; Passeriformes; Tyrannidae. The transcript has 4 exons. The record is from RefSeq and is a predicted model, not a curated record.